ACUCUUGACAGUGGAUAUCUUGGCUCUCGCAACGAUGAAGAACGCAGCGAAAUGCGAUACGUAGUGUGAAUUGCAGAAUUCAGCGAAUCAUCGAAACUUUGAACGCACAUUGCGCUCGUGUGCUUCGGCACCGAGCAUGCCUCUUUCAGGGUCAUCGACUUACACCUCUCCCCCUUUACAGUACUCCUGUAUCUGCGUGGAAGGAGAAUGGGCGUCCUGACAUAGUCUUCCCUCGAUGGAAGCCACUCUCUGAGUGUCGUCACGUCGCCUCAAGAACAUUGCCAGAGAAUAGUUUUACCCUCGUGUGGCUCGACGCAGUAAGGGCGCUGCAAAGUGCACUCUCGUCGCAGUCCGGUAAACCAAGCUUCAAUGGCGAUAUGGCCCGCAUAUAGUAGGAUGUACGCUGCAAAGUGUGUAUCCGGUCUAAAUGAAGGUCGCUUACCGGUUUGACCUGAAAUGAGGUAGGGCUACCCGCUGAACUUAAGCAUAUAAUUAAGCGGAGGAAAAGAAACUAACAAGGAUUCCCCUAGUAACGGCGAGUGAAGCGGGAAGAGUUCAAGCCUAAAAUCUCCGGUGUUCCACCGGCGAAUUGUAGUCUAUGGGUCAUGUGUGCGUGAGGCACCGGGAGUAAAUUCCUUGGAAUGGGAUCCUACAGAGGGUGAGAGGCCCGUAUGUAUUCCGUGUGCCGAACUUCAGUCAUGCAAGGCCUCAGAGUCGGGUUGCUUGGGAGUGCAGCUCUAAGUGGGAGGUAAAUUUCUUCUAAAACUAAAUACGGGCGAGAGACCGAUAGCGUACAAGUACCGUGAGGGAAAGAUGAAAAGGACUUUGAAAAGAGAGUUAAAAGUGCUUGAAGCUGUCAAGGGCUAACCGCAUGGAAAGAGCGUAUGGUCCUGUGGACACUUAGGGCUGAUGGUGUGCGCUGGCGGCAAGAGUAGGGUCAAACCGCUCGUGCCGAUUGUUGCAUAUCGUCGGUUUGCACUUGUCUGCUUGACCGGUCAAGCUGGCUUCUAUGCCGGUGGGAGAAUGGCUAAAGUGCGCGGCGCUAGCUUGCUGGCGUCGGUCUUGGCUGAUACCGCCGGAAGGAGUGAGGAAUCAAGCGUUGCCAUCGCCGCUGCGGUCGGCUGUUUUGGUGUAUCGUGUAGCACUGCCUCUGGUAUGUGUUGCGUGGUACAUCGAAGCACUCCGGCUGAACAGGGACUUGCUCGCUGAGGAGCUUGACUUGAUCUUUCCAUUCGACCCGUCUUGAAACACGGACCAAGGAGUCUAACAUAUAUGCGAGUGUUUGGGUGGCAAACCCAUGCGCGGAAUGAAAGUAAUAGGUGGGAUCCCGUCUGGGUGCACCAUCGACCGACCAUGAUCCUUGUGUGAAAGGUUUGAGUAAGAGCAUAUCUGUUGGGACCCGAAAGAUGGUGAACUAUGCCUGAGCAGGGCGAAGCCAGGGGAAACUCUGGUGGAGGCUCGCAGCGAUACUGACGUGCAAAUCGUUCGUCAAACUUAGGUAUAGGGGCGAAAGACUAAUCGAACCAUCUAGUAGCUGGUUCCCUCCGAAGUUUCCCUCAGGAUAGCUGGAACUUGUCGAGUUGUAUCAGGUAAAGCGAAUGAUUAGAGGCCUUGGGGUUGCAACAACCUUAACCUAUUCUCAAACUUUAAAUAGGUACGAUGCGUGAGUUUCUCAAGUGAACCCACGCGAUCAAUCGUAGUUCCAAGUGGGCCAUUUUUGGUAAGCAGAACUGGCGAUGCGGGAUGAACCGAUAGCUGAGUUAAGGCGCCUAACUGCACGCUCAUGUAGAUACCACAAAAGGUGUUGAUUCAUCCAGACAGCAGGACGGUGGUCAUGGAAGUCGAAAUCCGCUAAGGAGUGUGUAACAACUCACCUGCCGAAUGAAUCAGCCCUGAAAAAGGAUGGCGCUCAAGCGUGCGGCCUACACUCGGCCGUUGAAGCAGAUGCGAGGCUUCAACGAGUAGGAGGGCGUGGGGUUCGCAGCAAAGCCUUUGGAGUGAUCCAAGGUGGAGCGGACUCUAGUGCAGAUCUUGGUGUUAGUAGCAAAUAUUCAAAUGAGAACUUUGAAGACUGAAGUGGAGAAAGGUUCCAUGUGAACAGCAGUUGGACAUGGGUUAGUCGAUCCUAAGCGCUCUCCUAACGGAUAAGUAUGAGGCAUUUGCCUCGUCGCGCGAAAGGGUAUCGGGUUAAUAUUCCCGAACCGAGAUGUGGAAAUUUCAGUGGCAACACAACAGAACCUGGAGACGUCGGCGGGAGCCCUGGGAAGAGUUCUCUUUUCUUUUUAACUGUCUAUUACCCUGAAAUCAGAUUGGCUGGAGCUAGGGUUAAAUGACAGGGAAAGCACUUUAAGUCUUGAAGUGUCCGGUGCGCUUUCGACGGCCCUUGAAAAUCCAGGGGAUAGACAUUCUCACACUCGCUCGUACUCAUAACCGCAUCAGGUCUCCAAGGUGAGCAGCCUCUAGUCGAUAGAACAAUGUAGGUAAGGGAAGUCGGCAAAAUAGAUCCGUAACUUCGGGAAAAGGAUUGGCUCUAAGGGUUGGGUGUUGGGGACUGUAAUCUGAAUUCUGGCUGCGACGAUGGAGGCCGCAAGGAAGCUAUUGUUGCGCCGGUUGGAGGGUUGCAGGGCGACUUCGGUCCGCUCCCAGCACGAUGAACAACUAACUUAGAACUGUAACGGACAAGGGGAAUCCGACUGUUUAAUUAAAACAAAGCAUUGCGAUGGUCCUAACGGAUGUUGACGCAAUGUGAUUUCUGCCCAGUGCUCUGAAUGUCAAAGUGACGAGAUUCAACCAAGCGCGGGUAAACGGCGGGAGUAACUAUGACUCUCUUAAGGUAGCCAAAUGCCUCGUCAUCUAAUUAGUGACGCGCAUGAAUGGAUUAACGAGAUUCCCACUGUCCCUAUCUACUAUC
This 2911-nucleotide ribosomal RNA is filed under the name marine metagenome. RNAcentral's name for it is "eukaryotic LSU rRNA". The stretch from base 448 to 2911 matches the Rfam family "Eukaryotic large subunit ribosomal RNA", at positions 1 to 2356 of the family's 3401-position model. The record is from RNAcentral.